UUCGCAAUGCCCGAAAGGGUGACGAAGCGACGCCGCGUGGGUGAAGAAGGCCUUCGGGUUGUAAAACCCUGUCAGGAGUUAUGAAAUGUAAGUGCGCUAAUAUCGUGCUUAUUUGACAAAGGCUCCAAAGGAAGCCACGGCUAACUCUGUGCCAGCAGCCGCGGUAAUACAGAGGUGGCGAGCGUUGUUCGGAAUUAUUGGGCGUAAAGAGCACGUAGGUGGGUUUGCAAGUCAGAUGUGAAAGCCUUCUGUUCAACGGAAGAAUUGCAUCUGAAACUGCUAAUCUUGAGUAUAGGAGGGGAGAAUGGAACUUCUGGUGGAGCGGUGAAAUGCGUAGAUAUCAGAAGGAACGCCGGCGGCGAAAGCGAUUCUCUGGCCUAUUACUGACACUCAGUGUGCGAAAGCUAGGGGAGCAAACGGGAUUAGAUACCCCGGUAGUCCUAGCCGUAAACGAUGGGCACUAAGUAGAGGGGUUUU
Molecule: ribosomal RNA, 477 nt
Filed under: uncultured bacterium
Lineage: Bacteria
Description: bacterial SSU rRNA
Rfam family: Bacterial small subunit ribosomal RNA
Source: RNAcentral